This 253-nucleotide ribosomal RNA is filed under the name uncultured bacterium. Its description in RNAcentral is "partial 16S ribosomal RNA". It matches the Rfam family "Bacterial small subunit ribosomal RNA", at positions 524 to 776 of the family's 1533-position model. The record is from RNAcentral.
UACGAAGGGGGCUAGCGGUGCUCGGAAUCACUGGGCGUAAAGGGUGCGUAGGCGGGUCUUUAAGUCAGGGGUGAAAUCCUGGAGCUCAACUCCAGAACUGCCUUUGAUACUGAGGAUCUUGAGUUCGGGAGAGGUGAGUGGAACUGCGAGUGUAGAGGUGAAAUUCGUAGAUAUUCGCAAGAACACCAGUGGCGAAGGCGGCUCACUGGCCCGAUACUGACGCUGAGGCACGAAAGCGUGGGGAGCAAACAGG